UACGUAGGGGGCUAGCGUUGUCCGGAUUCAUUGGGCGUAAAGCGCGCGUAGGUGGCCACAUAAGUCCGUUGUGAAAGUCAAAGGCUCAACCUUUGAAAGCCGAUGGAUACUGUGUGGCUAGAGUACGGAAGAGGCGAGUGGAAUUCCUGGUGUAGCGGUGGAAUGCGCAGAUAUCAGGAGGAACACCAAUAGCGAAGGCAGCUCGCUGGGACGUUACUGACACUGAGGCGCGAAAGCGUGGGGAGCGAACAGG
Molecule: ribosomal RNA, 253 nt
Filed under: uncultured bacterium
Lineage: Bacteria
Description: partial 16S ribosomal RNA
Rfam family: Bacterial small subunit ribosomal RNA
Source: RNAcentral